RNAcentral lists this ribosomal RNA (494 nucleotides) under uncultured bacterium. RNAcentral's name for it is "partial 16S ribosomal RNA". It matches the Rfam family "Bacterial small subunit ribosomal RNA", at positions 28 to 507 of the family's 1533-position model. The record is from RNAcentral.
GACGAACGCUGGCGGCGUGCUUAACACAUGCAAGUCGAACGGAAAGGCCUGCUUUCCCUUGUGGAUUGCGGGUACUCGAGUGGCGAACGGGUGAGUAACACGUGAGUGAUCUGCCCCCAACUUGGGUAUAAGCCUGGGAAACUGGGUCUAAUUCCCGAUAGGACUGCAGGGUGGUGCCUGUGGUGGAAAACGAUUUUCUAGUGGUUGGGGAUGAGCUCGCGGCCUAUCAGCUUGUUGGUGGGGUAAUGGCCGACCAAGGCGGCGACGGGUAGCCGGCCUGGGAGGGUGGACGGCCACAUUGGGACUGGGAUACGGCCCAGACGCCUACGGGAGGCAGCGGUGGGGAAUAUUGCACAAUGGGCGGAAGCCUGAUGCAGCGACGCCGCGUGGGGGAUGACGGCCUUCGGGUUGCAAACUCCUUUCGACCGCGAGGAAGCCACCUGGUUGGAAGGGUGGUGACGGUAGUGGUAGAAGAAGCACCGGCUAACUACGUG